This 906-nucleotide ribosomal RNA is filed under the name Podospora australis. Its description in RNAcentral is "LSU rRNA". It matches the Rfam family "Eukaryotic large subunit ribosomal RNA", at positions 39 to 963 of the family's 3401-position model. The record is from RNAcentral. Lineage: Eukaryota; Fungi; Ascomycota; Sordariomycetes; Sordariales; Podosporaceae.
CAUAUCAAUAAGCGGAGGAAAAGAAACCAACAGGGAUUGCCCUAGUAACGGCGAGUGAAGCGGCAACAGCUCAAAUUUGAAAUCUGGCGUCUUUGGCGUCCGAGUUGUAAUUUGCAGAGGGCGCUUUGGCAUUGGCAGCGGUCCAAGUUCCUUGGAACAGGACGUCACAGAGGGUGAGAAUCCCGUACGUGGUCGCUAGCCUUUACCGUGUAAAGCCCCUUCGACGAGUCGAGUUGUUUGGGAAUGCAGCUCUAAAUGGGAGGUAAAUUUCUUCUAAAGCUAAAUACUGGCCAGAGACCGAUAGCGCACAAGUAGAGUGAUCGAAAGAUGAAAAGCACUUUGGAAAGAGAGUUAAAAAGCACGUGAAAUUGUUGAAAGGGAAGCGCUUGCAGCCAGACUUGCCUGUAGUUGCUCAUCCGGGUUUCUACCCGGUGCACUCUUCUAUAGGCAGGCCAGCAUCAGUUUGGGCGGUUGGAUAAAGGUCUCUGUCAUGUACCUCCUUUCGGGGAGAACUUAUAGGGGAGACGACAUGCAACCAGCCUGGACUGAGGUCCGCGCAUCUGCUAGGAUGCUGGCGUAAUGGCUGUAAGCGGCCCGUCUUGAAACACGGACCAAGGAGUCUAACAUCUAUGCGAGUGUUUGGGUGUCAAGCCCGAGCGCGUAAUGAAAGUGAACGGAGGUGGGAACCUUUCGGGGUGCACCAUCGACCGAUCCUGAUGUCUUCGGAUGGAUUUGAGUAAGAGCAUAGCUGUUGGGACCCGAAAGAUGGUGAACUAUGCUUGAAUAGGGUGAAGCCAGAGGAAACUCUGGUGGAGGCUCGCAGCGGUUCUGACGUGCAAAUCGAUCGUCAAAUUUGGGCAUAGGGGCGAAAGACUAAUCGAACUAUCUAGUAGCUGGUUCCUGCCG